RNAcentral lists this ribosomal RNA (109 nucleotides) under Dasypus novemcinctus (nine-banded armadillo). The record is from RNAcentral. Lineage: Eukaryota; Metazoa; Chordata; Mammalia; Cingulata; Dasypodidae.
AUCUACAACAAUACCACCCUGAAUGUGCCUGAUCUUGACUGAUUUUGGAAGCUAAGCAGGGUCAGGCAUUGUUAGUACUUGGAUGGAAGACAACUAAUCAUUGAUGUUC